Long non-coding RNA from Monodelphis domestica (gray short-tailed opossum), 2780 nucleotides. RefSeq lists it as uncharacterized. The record is from RefSeq and is a predicted model, not a curated record. Lineage: Eukaryota; Metazoa; Chordata; Mammalia; Didelphimorphia; Didelphidae.
CACACUGAAAUAAAUAUGGGAAGUGGUCUGCUGAUUCUCCUCUUGGAUUUUACAUUCUCACACUUGAUACUCUUUUGUCAGAGACCAUAUUCGGGGAAAACUUGACCUGAAACAAGAUUUAAGAUCCUAGGGAAACUUACCAAACAAGUUACCUCCCAGGCGUCGCCAAGACCAACAGCCACAAAACAUAACAAUAACCAUUCUUCAUGUUCCCUCCUGGUACAAGCAGUCUUUAGUCACCACCACCACCCCCCCUUUACCUCAAGCAUAUAUAUUCUACCUUACACCUGCAAUAAACGGAGCCUUGACACUACCAGAUUGACUCUGUCUCUCUAUUACGUGCUUGGUCUCCCCCUCUCUCCCCCUAUGGGUUCUUUUUAGGUGGCUGCUCCCCGAACCCCACCGUUGAAGUCCGGCAGGCCCGGAUAGAUGGCGCCUCAACGUGUUGGGAUUUGAGUAAGACAGCUUACCGGACGACCGAGAAACAGAUUCCGCGGACAAAGUAAACGGUAGAGGCUGAACGGACAGCCUUGAGAUAAGGCUACUUCACAACGGAACAGAUGGCGACAGUUCUGACAGUAACCCUCAUCUCUAUCCUGCUACCAGCCACCAGAUCAGGAAGUCCACACAUCCCCGUUCAUCAAGUAUGGGAGAUUGUCAAUCCAGUGAACCAAGCCGUUCUUGCCUCUGUCUCCAGUUCCCAGUGGCCGCGCCUUACAUGGUUCCCCCAACUGACCAUCGACCUUUGUGUCCUCGGUAUCCCAUACCAGUCAUCAAUGCACUAUUGCGCCCCAAAUGUGCCCGGUCUCCCGAUUAAGGACUAUUGGACCCAAUAUACCCAGUACCCUCUAUACGGCUGCCCUGGGUUCAGCCAGCCAGACCACUGUGGGGGCCAGUCAUAUGGAUUCUGUGCCACAUGGGGCUGUGUGACUUUUGGCACUGCUCAUUGGAUCACCAACAAAGACUUGAUUACCAUCGCCCGAAAUCCCUCCCGCCCUCAGACCUGCUCCUUUAAUCCCCCCAAUUGUAAUCCCCUUAUUAUCAAAUUCACCAACAAGGGCAAAACGGAUCCCCGUUGGACAGAAGGACUCACCUGGGGACUGCGCCUUUAUAAAAGGGGCCCCGAUGAUGUCUUUCUCUUCACACUCCGACUGCGCGUGACCCCUAUUACCAACUCUAUGGGUCCUAAUUUUGUUCUCACUGACCAACACAGCCCUUCAUAUCAGUUCCCCCAGCCCCCCCGACCCCUCUCCCCCACCCAAUUCCCCUCCCUUACACUCCCACCUACCCCUAUUCCCAAAAUACCUCCUGGUACCACUGAUAGACUCCUCAAACUCAUUGAGAGCUCCUAUUUGGUUUUGAAUGCUACCGCCCCAAACCUUACAAUCAGUUGUUGGCUAUGUCUCCACUCGCAGCCCCCAUACUAUGAAGGAAUCGCCUUUACCGAUCACCCUUAUAACACCUCUGCCCCUUCCCCUCGAUGCGCCCGGUUCCCCCACCACUUCACCCUUGCCAAAGUCUCCGGAAAAGGCCUUUGCAUAGGUCACCCCCCUUCCUCUCACUCCCAUCUUUGUAAUGUUACCCUUCCUAUCUCCCACUCCCCUUAUUAUCUAGAGGCUCCCAAUAACACCUUUUGGGCCUGCAACACCGGCCUCACCCCCUGCAUUUCCCUUCAGGUUUUUAAUACCUCCUCAGAAUUCUGUGUACUUAUACAAUUAUGGCCCAGAAUUACUUAUCACACAGACACUGCUUUAGAAAAAAUUUUGUCUCCGUCCCCUCGGGUUAAACGGGAACCCCUCUCUACUAUUGCCAUUAUUCUAGGUAUUGGUGGUCUUGCUGCCGGCAUUGGUACCGGCACCACCGCUUACCUACAGACCCAACACCUCACAACUUUACAUGCUGAUAUGACAACUGACAUUGAGAUCCUAGAAAAGUCUGUCUCUGCUUUAGCAAAAUCCCUAUCCUCCCUCUCAGAAGUUGUACUGCAGAACAGACGUGGCCUCGACCUACUUUUUUUAAAAGAAGGGGGAUUAUGUGUAGCCAUUAAAGAAGAAUGUUGCUUUUAUGCUGACCACACAGGCAUGGUCAGAAAAUCAAUGGCAAAAUUAAGAGAACGCCUAGCCCUUAGAAAAAAGAAGGCCGAGGCCCAAGAAGGAUGGUACAACAAUCUUUUAAGAAAAACCCCUUGGCUCUCUACUCUAAUUCCCACAAUAAUAGCUCCCUUUAUUAUCAUUCUCCUAAUACUCACCUUUGGCCCUUGGGCUUUCCAACGCCUGACUGGAUUUAUUAAAUCAAACAUUGACUCAGCCCUUACUAAGUUCCCUACGGUCCAAUACCAUCGUAUCGAAAUAACAGAUACUGACCGACCACACAUCCCUACUGAUCGUCUCCAAUUUACUAGCAGGGCGGUAACCCAAUGACGGGAAUAGCACAGGUCCUUGACCCUUGAUGGUCAAGCAACUCCCCCUGUGUAGCCUAAGACAGGGGCCGUCGCUGCGGUCCUGACUUAAAACCUUCCCUCUAUAAAAAAGAAAGGGGGAAUUGUCAGAGACCAUAUUCGGGGACAACUUGACCUGAAACAAGAUUUAAGAUCCUAGGGAAACCGAACAAACAAGUUACCUCCCAGGCGUCGCCAAGACCAACAGCCACAAAACAUAACAAUAACCAUUCUUCAUGUUCCCUCCUGGUACAAGCAGUCUUUAGUCACCACCACCACCCCCCCUUUACCUCAAGCAUAUAUAUUCUACCUUACACCUGCAAUAAACGGAGCCUUGACACUA